Molecule: long non-coding RNA, 1320 nt
Filed under: Lupinus mutabilis
Lineage: Eukaryota; Viridiplantae; Streptophyta; Magnoliopsida; Fabales; Fabaceae
Description: partial ncRNA
Source: RNAcentral
CUUUAUUCUCUUAUUAUUAUUGUUUGUACAGUGUCUGUGGAGUGUUCUAAAGUUGCGAAUGAAUGAGUAGAUAGAUGGCAGUUGCAAGAUUCAUGGCCUCAGGAGAAGCAAUUGAGAAGAAUGGUGGAUUCAACUACUUCAUGUUUUGCAUCACCAUGGACUCCAAAAUAGACAUUGAUGUUUUAGGGUCUGUUUGUGAGUUGAGUUUUAGAAGUGAAAGAAGGGAAAUGGAAGGCUUAAGAGCCAUGAAAUACACCGCUCAGGUGAUUCCGAAGCCUUCUUUUUCCCUUCCUUUCCCUCCAAUUUCAUCUGACAAACAGACCCAAGCGUAUAUUGAAAUGAGCUUUCUGAAGAAUAGUCAAGGGAAGUUGUGUCAUUCAGGAAUGCGGUGCUGGAGGUAAAUCCUCGUUCCCCUUUACAUGCUUAGUUUAUUUCAAAAUGAAGCUAUCUUUAUUUUAUUCGACUUUCAUGCUUACUGUUGAUAUGCCAAAUAUAUAUUACUAGGGUAUGAUUGAAAGAGAUGAAAAUGGGGAUGUUUGAGUAACAUGCGUCUCAUAUCCACAUUUUCACAUUCUAACCUUCAUUACUGUAAGCCUUGGUUAGUUUGCCAUGUUUAAGGCCUUAGAGAAUUGAAAUUCUUUCAUAAAUAUGCUCCUUAAAAAUAUAUAUACUUUCACAAGCAUACCUUUCGCAUUCAUGCUCCUUCGUUUAUAUUAAUAGCACAUUAUAGCACCACAAUUGCACUAUAGCUGUCCCUGGGCGACCUGUUGCGUUUCUGAGUAGCAUUCCCCUUCUCCGUCCCUUUUGUCGCUCUUCUGAUCAGCCACAUAUAUUGGGCAACAUCCCGAUACCAAGAGGUUUUCCAUUUUAAGUUUUCACCUUUUCUGGACAAAUCCUACCUGCCAGAAAUCACUGAUCUUAUGCCUUCGCUAACAAUACCAGAGCUUGGACACAAAACUCGGAGAAGCCAAAAUAAAAAAUAUACAUUAGUAUAAAAAAUAUACUUGUUUAAGCCUUUGAAGAAAAGAAAAUAAUUGGUAGAUUGAUCUUCUCUUACUAUUAGAUUCUGACUUCAAAACUUGUUUUCUUCACUUUUUUGCCGCUGAUAUUUUUUAAAACAGACGUACAAGUACCAUUAUAUUCUUUCAUACCAAAAGUGGCAAGAGUGAGGUUUGAACUCGGAUUAAAUAGCUGGAAUGAAUAACAACUAACCACUAAAAUAUAACAAGUUUUUGUAAUAAGAUAUCAUAACAUAUAAUAUGAACACAUAUAUAUAUAUAUAUAUGUAUAUAUAUAUAUUUUAAAUAAAAUUUGUGGGGG